RNAcentral lists this microRNA (20 nucleotides) under Homo sapiens (human). RNAcentral describes it as "hsa-miR-3960". Lineage: Eukaryota; Metazoa; Chordata; Mammalia; Primates; Hominidae. The record is from miRBase by way of RNAcentral. RNAcentral also lists the same sequence under 1 other name.
GGCGGCGGCGGAGGCGGGGG